This 468-nucleotide ribosomal RNA is filed under the name uncultured bacterium. RNAcentral describes it as "partial 16S ribosomal RNA". It matches the Rfam family "Bacterial small subunit ribosomal RNA", at positions 28 to 507 of the family's 1533-position model. The record is from RNAcentral.
GACGAACGCUGGCGGCGUGCUUAACACAUGCAAGUCGAACGGAAAGGCCCUGCUUUUGUGGGGUGCUCGAGUGGCGAACGGGUGAGUAACACGUGAGUAACCUGCCCUUGACUUUGGGAUAACUUCAGGAAACUGGGGCUAAUACCGGAUAGGAGCUCCUGCUGCAUGGUGGGGGUUGGAAAGUGUCGGCGGUUGGGGAUGGACUCGCGGCUUAUCAGCUUGUUGGUGGGGUAGUGGCAUACCAAGGCUUUGACGGGUAGCCGGCCUGAGAGGGUGACCGGCCACAUUGGGACUGAGAUACGGCGCAGACUCCUACGGGAGGCAGCAGUGGGGAAUAUUGCACAAUGGGCGGAAGCCUGAUGCAGCGACGCCGCGUGCGGGAUGCCCGCCUUCGGGUUGUAAACCGCUUUCGCCUGUGACGAAGCGUGAGUGACGGUAAUGGGUAAAGAAGCACCGGCUAACUACGUG